RNAcentral lists this ribosomal RNA (856 nucleotides) under uncultured bacterium. RNAcentral's name for it is "bacterial SSU rRNA". It matches the Rfam family "Bacterial small subunit ribosomal RNA", at positions 57 to 897 of the family's 1533-position model. The record is from RNAcentral.
GCAGUCGAGCGGAUCUUCAUUAGCCUGCUUUUGAAGAUCAGCGGCGGACGGGUGAGUAACACGUGGGCAACCUGCCUGUAAGACUGGGAUAACUUCGGGAAACCGGAGCUAAUACCGGAUAAUCCUUUCCCUCACAUGAGGGAAAGCUGAAAGACGGUUUCGGCUGUCACUUACCGAUGGGCCCGCGGCGCAUUAGCUAGUUGGUGAGGUAACGGCUCACCAAGGCGACGAUGCGUAGCCGACCUGAGAGGGUGAUCGGCCACACUGGGACUGAGACACGGCCCAGACUCCUACGGGAGGCAGCAGUAGGGAAUCUUCCGCAAUGGACGAAAGUCUGACGGAGCAACGCCGCGUGAGCGAUGAAGGCCUUCGGGUCGUAAAGCUCUGUUGUCAGGGAAGAACAAGUAUCGGAGUAACUGCCGGUACCUUGACGGUACCUGACCAGAAAGCCACGGCUAACUACGUGCCAGCAGCCGCGGUAAUACGUAGGUGGCAAGCGUUGUCCGGAAUUAUUGGGCGUAAAGCGCGCGCAGGCGGUUCCUUAAGUCUGAUGUGAAAGCCCCCGGCUCAACCGGGGAGGGUCAUUGGAAACUGGGGAACUUGAGUGCAGAAGAGGAGAGCGGAAUUCCACGUGUAGCGGUGAAAUGCGUAGAGAUGUGGAGGAACACCAGUGGCGAAGGCGGCUCUCUGGUCUGUAACUGACGCUGAGGCGCGAAAGCGUGGGGAGCGAACAGGAUUAGAUACCCUGGUAGUCCACGCCGUAAACGAUGAGUGCUAAGUGUUAGAGGGUUUCCGCCCUUUAGUGCUGCAGCAAACGCAUUAAGCACUCCGCCUGGGGAGUACGGCCGCAAGCUGA